GUGUUUGGUCGAUCAACAUCAGGAGCAAAAAGGGGGUUCCCUUCCAAGAACCCUAACUCACGAAAAUUGCCAGAAUCAAAGAGAAAUCGAGCCGGGAAAUUGGGGCUUUUAAUAAAAUCGUGAUCACCAAGCUUAGGGGAUCACAAGUUUGACUCUUGACAAGCUAGAUGGAGGCUUGGGAGGAAGCGGGUCAAACGGAGCAAGUACGAAAAGAAAACGUUGCUUGGAUGUGAGGAAUAUAUAUCGAAUGGAAAUUUGCAUCGCUAUUAGUUAGCGUUUAUUAAGCAAAGCAUUAAAUGGGUCAAUAUGUUGAUCCGAGCCAGGUACAUUUUGGAUGCCGGAAGACGAUCAAGCAUCAUCGAAGAACCGAAAACUAUAAAGUUACAUGCUUCCGCACAUAGCCCGACGUAAAUUUUGAACGACGAACUCAAUUACGUCAUGUUGAACAACUUAUGAUUUGUAAAAGUUUUAAUAAACCUGCAUUUUUAUAGUAUGUGUAGUCUUAACUAC
This 510-nucleotide long non-coding RNA is filed under the name Helianthus annuus (common sunflower). Its description in RNAcentral is "hypothetical non coding rna". The record is from RNAcentral. Lineage: Eukaryota; Viridiplantae; Streptophyta; Magnoliopsida; Asterales; Asteraceae.